Molecule: transfer RNA, 87 nt
Filed under: Jannaschia rubra
Lineage: Bacteria; Pseudomonadati; Pseudomonadota; Alphaproteobacteria; Rhodobacterales; Roseobacteraceae
Rfam family: tRNA
About the family: Transfer RNA (tRNA) molecules are approximately 80 nucleotides in length.
Source: Rfam by way of RNAcentral
GGAAGCGUGGCCGAGUGGUCGAAGGCACCGGAUUUGAAAUCCGGCAGGCGGGCAACCGUCUCGUGGGUUCGAAUCCCACCGCUUCUG